Molecule: ribosomal RNA, 253 nt
Filed under: uncultured bacterium
Lineage: Bacteria
Description: partial 16S ribosomal RNA
Rfam family: Bacterial small subunit ribosomal RNA
Source: RNAcentral
UACGGGGGGGGCAAGCGUUGUUCGGAAUUACUGGGCGUAAAGGGUGCGUAGGCGGUUCGUUAAGUUGGAUGUGAAAACUCUGGGCUCAACCCAGAGCCUGCAUCCAAAACUGGCGGGCUAGAGUUCUGGAGGGGGUAGCGGAAUUCCUGGUGUAGCGGUGAAAUGCGUAGAUAUCGAGAGGAACACCAGUGGCGAAGGCGAGUCUCUGGACGACUCCUGACACUGAGGCACGAAAGCCGGGGGAGCAAACAGG